Molecule: long non-coding RNA, 351 nt
Organism: Helianthus annuus (common sunflower)
Lineage: Eukaryota; Viridiplantae; Streptophyta; Magnoliopsida; Asterales; Asteraceae
Exons: 3
Source: RefSeq, a predicted model, not a curated record
AGACGGUGCUGAGGAACCGAAGUUUAAACAGGUUUUAGUUUGCUCAAAUCCUGAAUGUCCGAAAGAGGUUGUGACUGCGACACCGAUUUUUAGGAUUCCGAUAAGAGUACAAGAUUAUGCAGCUAUUGCCUCUUUGACUUUGUUCGACCGUGAAGCUUGAAAAAUGUUGGGUAUGACAGCAAUUCAAUUGCUUGAGAAGUCUAAAGUGGACCAGGCAUCUUUGGAAGAGAAAACCAUUCCCUAUCAGUUUAAAUCUUUGAAUGAUAAAAAGUUUGCCUUCAAGAUUCAAAUUAGUCAAUUCAAUAUUGACAACCAUAUUGAUGGUUAUGUUGUUCAUAAGUUGGUUAAUGA